Molecule: ribosomal RNA, 443 nt
Filed under: uncultured bacterium
Lineage: Bacteria
Description: partial 16S ribosomal RNA
Rfam family: Bacterial small subunit ribosomal RNA
Source: RNAcentral
CCUACGGGUGGCAGCAGUGGGGAAUAUUGGGCAAUGGGCGCAAGCCUGACCCAGCAACGCCGCGUGAAGGAAGAAGGCUUUCGGGUUGUAAACUUCUUUUCUCAGGGACGAAGCAAGUGACGGUACCUGAGGAAUAAGCCACGGCUAACUACGUGCCAGCAGCCGCGGUAAUACGUAGGUGGCAAGCGUUAUCCGGAUUUACUGGGUGUAAAGGGCGGGUAGGCGGGAACGCAAGUCAGAUGUGAAAACCACGGGCUCAACCUGUGUCUUGCAUUUGAAACUGUUUUUCUUGAGUACUGGAGAGGCAGACGGAAUUCCUAGUGUAGCGGUGAAAUGCGUAGAUAUUAGGAGGAACACCAGUGGCGAAGGCAGUCUGCUAGACAGCAACUGACGCUGAGGCGCGAAAGCGUGGGGAGCAAACAGGAUUAGAUACCCUUGUAGUC